Molecule: long non-coding RNA, 1728 nt
Organism: Haplochromis burtoni (Burton's mouthbrooder)
Lineage: Eukaryota; Metazoa; Chordata; Actinopteri; Cichliformes; Cichlidae
Exons: 3
Source: RefSeq, a predicted model, not a curated record
UUUCUCAAUAUGCGUACUUGUGCGUACUUGCGUUCUCGUGUACUCGUGAUACGUCAUCAGUCGGAGACCAAGUACUGUUCCAAUCCGAAGUACGCAUCAAGCUGAGAACGCAAAAAAUUCCCGGAGGUGUUCUCACUCCGCCCGUUUUAUUGAGCAUGCAUCGGUGGUGACUUGUGUGGACUUGGUACAGCUAAAUAUCCCAGAAUGCAUUUCGCAAGACCUCUGUGAAAAUGGCAGAGGAGAAGACGCAUAAUUGGACAAGUGAGGAAACACAGGCUCUCAUUGAGUGGCGGGCGGAAAAUGAGAGUCUUUUUACAGGAAAGAGAAAUUCCUGCAAGACUGGAUGGGAGUAAGUACUGACUGCUUUUGCUGCUCCCUGUUUUCUAGGGAAGGAUUAGAGGAGCAAAUCUUAUGAUAACCAGCUAUCGAAGUGACAGUGCAACAUUCUUUUCUCUCAGGGACUUUGUUAGCUCUUCAGGCCUGGCCAUAACAGUUAAGAAAGCACAAAAGAAAUGGAACAAUCUGACUUUGCCAUUUAAUAAUAGAGUAAUUGUAUCUGUGAUAAUAUAGACAUUAAUACAUAUUUUCAGGAGCUUAGGGACCCACCCACAGGCAAGGGAGUAGAGGAAGGUAGCCCGACUGCCGCCACCUGGCAGUGGUACAAAAUGAUGGAUGCUGUGCUCCAGGGGCAGCACUCAAUAAGUCCACCCCUGGUGGUUUCAGCAAACCUCACAUCCACUGCAGGUGGUGCAGUCAGCACUCCAGCCUCGUCCCCUUCUACCGAAGUGUCGAGGAAGAGCCAGAGGAAGAGGCCCAGGGACAGCCAGGCUGUACUUCAGUUUCUAAAAGACCAGGCGGAAAGAGAGGAAGAGAGAGAGAGACAGGCGCUGGCUAGGGAGGAAGAGAGGGAGAGGGCAGCUACUGAAAGGGCAGACCGAUCACUGCUGUUUGAAAAACUUGUCGAAAAAUUUUAAAUAAAGCAAUUUAAAUCUCAAUAAUGAAGUGAGGUUUUUGCUGCAUGUGUAACAGAGAAUCUCUUUAGUCAAAGUAAAACAGUUACAAUAACUUUUAACAUUGAAUUCAACCUAUACAACCGUGAGCACACAAGCAAAUAUACAAAAAAGAACACUAACUAUUUACAAGCUGAACAAAUAAAGAUGUAUUUUAACUAAUUAACUUAACUAACUAACACUAAUUUGAAAAACAAAUAUGAUUUGAAUUUACUUUUUUUUUUAACCAACAGGAGGCUUUUUCUUUUGGCCUUAGCUGCCUACAUAUCUGUUUGAGCAUGACUACAUCUUACAAAUGAAACCUUUACCUAGAUGUAGUCAUGUUCAAACAGAUAUGCAGGCAGCUGUUCAGGAGCAGACAGUCGUGCAGCAAGCCUGGCUCGGAUACAAGCUCCAGAAAGCUCCCUGUCCACGCCUGUGCAUUCUGUUUCAGCGUCUGGUCCUGCUUGUGCCGCCUCCUCCUCGUCUCCUUCUUCUUGGCAGACGUAAUCUGUUGCCACACAGAUGUUGUGGAGGAUGCAGCAAGCUCCCACAACUUUGGGAGCAAACAGAGGCCGGAUCUCAAGGGCUCGCAAGAAAAUGGAUCGCCAGCGUGUUUUGAGGAUGCCAAAGGUGCUGUGCUGCAGCCUAAACAUCUGUGAUUAAAGAGAAGCAGGUCGGAACUCUUUGCAGUCGGUACUUCAGAGUGGAUAUGCUGCCACUGGAGAGACAGAGUGGG